This 484-nucleotide ribosomal RNA is filed under the name uncultured bacterium. RNAcentral describes it as "partial 16S ribosomal RNA". It matches the Rfam family "Bacterial small subunit ribosomal RNA", at positions 30 to 507 of the family's 1533-position model. The record is from RNAcentral.
AUUGAACGCUGGCGGCAGGCCUAACACAUGCAAGUCGAGCGGAUGAAGGGAGCUUGCUCCUGGAUUCAGCGGCGGACGGGUGAGUAAUGCCUAGGAAUCUGCCUGGUAGUGGGGGAUAACGUCCGGAAACGGGCGCUAAUACCGCAUACGUCCUGAGGGAGAAAGUGGGGGAUCUUCGGACCCCAGGCUAUCGGAGUAGCCUAGGUCGGAUUAGCUAGUGGGUGGGGUAAAGGCCUACCAAGGCGACGAUCCGUAACUGGUCUGAGAGGAUGAUCAGUCACACUGGAACUGAGACACGGUCCAGACUCCUACGGGAGGCAGCAGUGGGGAAUAUUGGACAAUGGGCGAAAGCCUGAUCCAGCCAUGCCGCGUGUGUGAAGAAGGUCUUCGGAUUGUAAAGCACUUUAAGUUGGGAGGAAGGGCAGUAAGUUAAUACCUUGCUGUUUUGACGUUACCAACAGAAUAAGCACCGGCUAACUUCGUG